AGCAGCCGCGGUAAUUCCAGCUCCAAUAGCGUAUAUUAAAGUUGUUGCAGUUAAAAAGCUCGUAGUUGAAUUUCGGGAUUAGUACGUUGGUCGUGCCUUCGGUACGUACUGGUGUUACUGAUUCCUACCUUCUGACGAACCAUCAUGUCAUUAAUUUGGUGUGGCGGGGAAUCAGGACUGUUACUUUGAAAAAUUAGAGUGUUUAAAGCAGGCUCGCGCUUGAAUACAUUAGCAUGGAAUAAUGAAAUAGGACGUUGACCCUAUUUUGUUGGUUUCUAGGAUUGACGUAAUGAUUAAUAGGGAUAGUUGGGGGCAUUAGUAUUCAAUUGUCAGAGGUGAAAUUCUUGGAUUUAUUGAAGACUAACUACUGCGAAAGCAUUUGCCAAGGAUGUUUUCAUUAAUCAAGAACGAAAGUUAGGGGAUCGAAGACGAUCAGAUACCGUCGUAGUCUUAACCAUAAACUAUGCCGACUAGGGAUCGGAUGAUGUUAUUUUUAANGACUCAUUCGGCGACCUUACGG
RNAcentral lists this ribosomal RNA (520 nucleotides) under uncultured Glomus. RNAcentral's name for it is "SSU rRNA". It matches the Rfam family "Eukaryotic small subunit ribosomal RNA", at positions 569 to 1093 of the family's 1831-position model. The record is from RNAcentral. Lineage: Eukaryota; Fungi; Glomeromycota; Glomeromycetes; Glomerales; Glomeraceae.